Molecule: long non-coding RNA, 5402 nt
Organism: Neofelis nebulosa (Clouded leopard)
Lineage: Eukaryota; Metazoa; Chordata; Mammalia; Carnivora; Felidae
Exons: 3
Source: RefSeq, a predicted model, not a curated record
UCGAAUCCGUCUCUCUGAACCCCAUUUUUUUUGGCGGGGGGGAGGGGGAAACUUUGGGUUAUUUUAUCGGCAUCUUCUAACCAACCUGGACUCAUCAUUUUCCUACCACCAAAGUUGUUCUAAUUUGGAAAAAUCCCAACUCUGUUCACAGUCACUUUUCUUUCUUUUUUUUAAAUUUUUAUUUAUUUUGAUAAAGAGAGGAUGAGCGGGGGAGCAGCAGAGAGAGAGGGCGACACAGAAUCUGAAGCAGGCUUCAGACUCUGAGUUGUCAGCACAGAGCCCAAGGCGGGGCUCAAAACCGCGGACUGCGAGCUCAUGACCUGAGCUGAAGUCAGACGCUCAACCAACUGAGCCACCCAGGUGCCCCAGUUCACAGUCGCUUUUCUAUACCUAUGCUUGUGCCCUGCUCACUGCUGAAUGAAGUGCUACACAAAUCAGCAGCUACUCCGUGCUAAGCAAGAAGAGGGUCAACAAAGCGUGCCGUUGGGGACAGGACUGACCCUCCGACGCCGGGAUCCUCCCCUGGGACUCAGCGCUGGAAGAGCCCAGGUGAGAUCACCCCACACCUGCAGGGUGUCUGUCCUUUCCCGGGCACAGGAUGGUCCUGCACUUUCUGUCUGGAUUCCCCAGGCUCUGCAGGCUUGGAGGGUAGGAGGUGCAAGGCUCAGCCCAGAGGCCCACUGGCGCCUGCAGAGCUGAGCUAGUGAGGGGCUGAGGCUGGGGGCGGGGGUCUGCUGGAGGCACAGGUGUGGGCAGUGCCCUCCCCACACACACACACACCUGCUGUCUGAAAGAUAGAGAAGGAAGAGUAGAGUCCUCCUCCUUGGUGUUUUUACCCAGCGUGGUGCAGUGCCCUGAGGACCUCAGAUCAGCCAGGAGGCCUGGCGGGCUGUCCGCUGCUGCGGGGGUUUCAACCUCAGAAAGAUGGAGCCCCGUAUCCAAGUGGAAACUUGGAUUCUGACUCAGCACUGCCUCCAAUAACUUGAUCACUUCUCCUGAGCCCGACGCAAAUCCUCCACGGUCUCUUUCCCUGAAAUCCUUGUCCGUCCACACCCCAGUAAACACAGUUAUGCAGAAGCCCAGUAAACUGGUAUCUGCUGGGUGGAACACCCAAUACUACAGCAACCUUGAGCACUGGAGCAGAUUUAUCUUGAUAAGAUGGUCAUGCCAAAUAGUUAAAACAAAAAAAACAAAAAAACCCCAGGUCCUUCCUGGUACCACUGAGUUGCUAAAUUAAGCCACACUGUUUCCACCCUUGAGACAGUAAGAAGAAUCCUGUGUUGAUUUGUGGACUUUAACUUCUGGCUGACUAGUUCUCUUUCAACGAACUAAUGUGAUGCUUAACCCACAACACAGCCCAGAGAAAAAUGCACAAGAGAGAUGAAAAGAUGAAAAGAUGAAACGAGGAGACGAUCUAGAACUUGGAAGGGGGACAAUACACAGAUAAAGGGGCUGAGCUGAGGUUUUUUUCCCCCCAAAUUCUGAAUCCCUACAGCAUAAAGCAAAUAAAAAGUAGGAAAUGAAAUCCCUAUCAAAAACAUCAGUGUACAUGGGGCGCCUGGGAGACUCCGUCGGUGAAGCGUCUGACUUCAGCUCGGGUCAUGAUCUCACAGCUUGUGGGUGCGAACCCUGCGUUGGACUCUGUGCUGUCAUCAUGGACCCUGCUUGGUAUUCUCUCUCUCUCUCCCUCUCUUUCUUCCCCUUCCUGCUUGUGCUUUGUCUCAAGAAUAAAUACAUAUUUUUUAAAGUUUUUAAAAAGAAGUCAGUGUGCAGACAGGAGAUCAUCUCCACAACAGCCAGGAUGAAAGGAAUAAUCACCUACAAAGUAGCGGCAAUUAGCAGAAAUCCCAACACCCACAAUAAAGGACAAAGCAUUGAAUGGUACCUCCAAAAUGCUGAGGGACAACACCUGUCAGCUUUCAAUUAUAUGGCAGGCAAUCAUUCUUCAAGAAUGAGGCUUUAGAAAGACCUUUUUGUCUCCCCUAAAAAUUUGGGAUUUUUUAAUAGAUCCAUCACGUGAAAAUGUCAGGGCAGAAAACUUCACCAAAAUGUUAUCCUAAAUCCAAAGGAAGCAGUUCUGUGUUAUUUAAGCUCUCUGCUUAAGUCACCAACUGUAGGUCACUGUUUUUGUAACAUCCCCAUAUCAGUGUUGUCAUUCCUCAGAGAUACGUGAUUGGACUACUUUAAGUUUGGUAGAAAAAUCAAGUGAGGAUAUAGAUCACCCACUUUUGUCAGUGCCUGGGGAUUAGUGCUAACUGGUGAUUCUGCAUUUUUUUUUCAAGAAAGUUCGAAAGUGGCCUUUGCACCCUCUCUGUGAGUUAUCAGCAAUAGGGAUGUGGUAACAGGGAAAGCUGUGGUUUCUAAUGCAAUGGAUUACACACAGACACACACAAUCACUGAAAGGUUAAAAACAACAAUGAUGCGAUCAGAUUUGUAUUUCAUAAGUAUUAGUAUAGAUUAGAACAUGGGUUGGCAAACUAUGGCCCAUCGGCCAAAUCUGGCCCCUUGCCUAUUUUUAUAAAUAAAGUUUUAUUGGAACACAGCCAUGCCCAUUUAUUUAUGAAUUGUCUAUGGCUGUUUUCACCCUACAAUAGCAAAGUGGAAUCGUUGUGAGAGUGACCUAACAUUUUAGCUAUCUGGCUUUUUACAGAAAAAGUUCUGGCUUAGAAUAUCCUAAAACUGACUAAGGAGGGUACACACCACACUGAUCAUGUAGACCCAUCAGGCACCUAUUAAAUUUGGUCAAGAGAGGUGCCUGGGUGACUCAGUUCGUUAAGCAUCUGACUCUAAUAAAAAUAUUCUUCCAAUUAAAAAAAAAAGCGUCUGACUCUUGGUUUCAGGUCAGGUCAUGAUCUCGCGGUUCAUGAGUUUGAGUCCUGUGUGCUGGCACAGAGCCUGCUUGGGAUUCUCUCUCUCCCUCCCUCCCUCUCUCUUCCCCUCCCCUGCUCAUGCUCUCUCUCUCUCUCAAGAUAAACAUUAAAAAAUUUUUAAUUUGGCCAAGAAAUACCUGAGCGAGGGCAGAAAAAUGAAAGAAACCAACAUAACCAUCGGUGAACUAAGUAAUAUUUCUUCCUAGACAAAGUAUACCAAGUAUAAAGUUAAGUCUAAGUUAGGUCUCAGGCGUAUAAGCACAACCUCAAAGUUCUUUGCCUUUUAUUAUGCUUGUGUCCUUGUGAGAUAGACAUUGUGACAUAAAGUCGGUAUGUGACUUGUGCAGAAUUUACUGUGAAACCAGAGAGGGAAAGCCAGCACUAAAUUGUACCUAUUUGACCCAGUGAUUAACAUUUGACCCUCUGGUCUUCAUUCAUGGUGGGUCUUAGAGCUCUCAGAUCACCCCCUUUAAGACACGUAGUCAUUAAGAAGGAUCUCAGGGUAUUAAAGACAAAGUCGCACCAUGGGGAUCUGGUGGUUCUGGCAUCACUUCUUUCGAUUGUCAGAUUUGGAUUGCUGUCUUUUACAUCCUUCAGUAGCUUCUGGACUUCCAUGCUAGAUUCAUCCGUCUCCAACCUGAGUAUCUUUAAGGGGCCGUUAUUCUGUUUUAAAGCCUCAAAGAGCAUCAUUAUUCUGCUCUGCCCCAAGGUAUUCCAGCUCAGGUCCAGAGUUUCCAGCCUCUGAGCGCUGACUACCACCAGUGCAAGACCCUGACAACAGGAGGGGGUGAUGGAGCAGCCACAGAGCCUGUGGGGAAAAAGCACAGAGACCCAGUCAGUACUCACUUAGAACCUACCGUGUUGCUAGAUGCACUCGUUUUGCUGGCUGGGGACCUAGUAGUGAAGAUAGGAAAGAAAAAAAUUAUUUUCUUCAUGGAGCUUAUUUUAGUGACAUCAGACUUCCCUCAGAACGCGGAAGACAGUGGAUGGUGGUAGAGAAGCCACGUUAGCAGGAUUAGGAUCAACUGGCCAGAGAAGCAUUCGGUAGCUUUAUGGUGGUUGGUGAAUCCCUCAUUGGGGAGAUGAUAGGAGAAAAAAAGUAAAAAGAGGAGAGUGGGGCCAUUAUGGUAAGUGGGGGACCUAAGCCACUGAUACAAUUUCACUGUAGCUGAAAUGCCAAGCUGGGGGAGGGUCUUGUAGACUCCUGGAAAAACCUUCAGAUUUGACCUGCAGUGGCACAGGGAAGGAGCUUUUGGGUCUUUUGAAACAGCUGCCCGUGGUCUGGCUUGAAGCUUGACAGGUACUUCAGGGAGAUGGGUUGAGAACAAACUUCAGGAAAUCAAGGGCCAUCUCAGGGAUCAUGCCACACUCCACGGGAGAGUUGGUGGCCUCAAUGCGAGCGUUAAGCACUGGAGGUGUCGAUGGUCAUCUGCUAGAUGUCUGGAAGGAGGGGUCUCAAAAUGAACGUGAGGUGCGAAAGGAAAGCAGGAAGAAGAGGACAGAAGCCUUCUAGUUGGUGAAGAGAUGGACUGUUUUCUCCUAGACGUUCCAGUGAAUCAAUUAUACUCAGUAAGGCAUGGUAUGUGAACAUCGCCUCCGUUCCUCGCCUCCUUGUUCUAGAGCUCUUCCUAGACUAAAAGAUGCGUUUGCCAGUGGGAAACAGAGGGUGGGACCCUUUAUGGUUGAUACGGUUCAUGCUAGCUUAUAAAGAGCCCAGUGGGCUGACUCAAGCCAGACCGCCCCCUCAGCCAUGUACCCUUGAGUUCUGAACCAUCUGCACGUCUAUGUCCCACAUCACUAACCAUCAUUCUGCUGCCCCAGGUGCUAUAACAGGCACUGCAGAUACAAGAAAUAAAUUCCAUCCCCCUCGGAAAUAAAACUCACAAUGGAUAAAUGGAUUAACAAAUUGUGGUAGAUCCCUACAAUGGGAUAUUGUUCCGCCAUAUAAAGGAAUGAAGGAUUUAUACCUGCUCCAGUGUAGAUCAAUCUUGAAAAUAUACUCACUGAGCACUGGGUGUUGUAUGGAAACCAAUUUGACAAUAAAUUUCAUAUAUUAAAAAAAAAAAAGAAAAAAGAAAAUAUACUCACUGAAAGAAGCCCAACACGAAAAGCUACUUACUCUAUGUAGGACUCUGUUUAUACGGAAUAUACCGAAUUGUAUAUGGAUAGCAAGAUAGGUAUAGAAUGGAGACAGAAAAUAGAUGUGUGGUCACCAGGGGCCAAGAGGUCUGGAGUCCCCAUUUGGGGUGAUAGAUAAUAAGUAUAGCAAAAGCCACCAAGUUAUACACUUUUAAAUGGCACAUUUUAUAUUGUGUGAAUUUUCAAUUUAACAAAUUAUAGGGGCAGCUGGGUGGCUCAGUCAGUUAAGCAUCCAAUUCUUGAUUUUGGCUCAGGUCACGAUCUCACAGUUCAUGAGUUCAAGCCCUAUGUCAGGCUCUGAGCUAACAGCGCAAAGCCUGCUUGGGAUUCUCUCUCUGCCCCUCCCCUACUCACACAUAUGCACAAACUUCAUGCCUAUCAAAAAUACACAUU